GCCAGUGUGGUGUAGUGGUUUGAGUGUUGGACUACAACUCUGGAGACCAGGUUUUAAAUCCCAGCUCAAGCA
Molecule: non-coding RNA, 72 nt
Organism: Phrynosoma platyrhinos (Desert horned lizard)
Lineage: Eukaryota; Metazoa; Chordata; Lepidosauria; Squamata; Phrynosomatidae
Source: the annotation of a GenBank genome assembly